Non-coding RNA from Brachypodium distachyon (stiff brome), 115 nucleotides. NCBI's taxonomy places the organism in Eukaryota, Viridiplantae, Streptophyta, Magnoliopsida, Poales, Poaceae. The record is from Rfam.
CAGGGUACCCUUUACCCUCCUUAGUUCAAACAAAUGAACUAAAAUUUUAAAAAGACACAAUUUUUUGGAAAACUAGUUCAUUUGUUUGAACUAAAGAGGGUCAAAUGGUACUCUG